Molecule: ribosomal RNA, 468 nt
Filed under: uncultured bacterium
Lineage: Bacteria
Description: partial 16S ribosomal RNA
Rfam family: Bacterial small subunit ribosomal RNA
Source: RNAcentral
GACGAACGCUGGAGGCGUGCUUAACACAUGCAAGUCGAACGGAAAGGCCCUGCUUUUGUGGGGUGCUCGAGUGGCGAACGGGUGAGUAACACGUGAGUAACCUGCCCUUGACUUUGGGAUAACUUCAGGAAACUGGGGCUAAUACCGGAUAGGAGCUCCUGCUGCAUGGUGGGGGUUGGAAAGUUUCGGCGGUUGGGGAUGGACUCGCGGCUUAUCAGCUUGUUGGUGGGGUAGUGGCUUACCAAGGCUUUGACGGGUAGCCGGCCUGAGAGGGUGACCGGCCACAUUGGGACUGAGAUACGGCCCAGACUCCUACGGGGGGCAGCAGUGGGGAAUAUUGCACAAUGGGCGGAAGCCUGAUGCAGCAACGCCGCGUGCGGGAUGACGGCCUUCGGGUUGUAAACCGCUUUCGCCUGUGACGAAGCGUGAGUGACGGUAAUGGGUAAAGAAGCACCGGCUAACUACGUG